ACCCGUUCCCAUGCCGAACACGGAAGUUAAGCUCUUCAGCGCCGAUGGUAGUUGGGGGUUUCCCCCUGUGAGAGUAGGACGUUGCCAGGU
Molecule: ribosomal RNA, 90 nt
Filed under: Metabacillus litoralis
Lineage: Bacteria; Bacillati; Bacillota; Bacilli; Caryophanales; Bacillaceae
Also listed under: 1 other name
Source: RNAcentral